RNAcentral lists this long non-coding RNA (632 nucleotides) under Ananas comosus (pineapple). RNAcentral describes it as "long non-coding RNA (ACOM_LNC029867)". Lineage: Eukaryota; Viridiplantae; Streptophyta; Magnoliopsida; Poales; Bromeliaceae. The record is from RNAcentral.
CUUCUAAUAUUAUGAUAAAAUAAAAAGUUCAAAUUCAAUCAAAAAACUUAAACUAAUAAAUAAAAUAAUCCCUCACAUUAUACUCCACUACAACAGGAUUAGGUUAUAGAAACACAUGUUUGGGACACUUUUUAGUAAGUGUCCCAUUUAUGUUAAAACUUAAAAAAAUAUCUACUUAUGCCGAAAUAUAAAGUCCAAUCCAACUAAAAAUAAAAGAUUACUCUACUAAACCCACACAUCCAGUCCAUUUGACCCGAUUACAAAAAAAAAAAGAAAAAAAAAGAAAAAUCAAUUACCAUUUUUUCUUCUCUAUUCACUCAAUCCACUGAAAUUCUAGACGAAGAGCUUUUCCUAUCGUCCUCCUCCGUUACCGCAGCCAACGAGAUAGAGUUUCGACGGUUGCUAAAUGCUUAAAUAAGUGUUGGUAAAUUAGCAGCACUCUUUUAGGUUGUAGCGACACUCUUUAACUGUCACUAUAUAUCUAGCGACCUCACAUAUAGCAAUACUUUUUAAAAGUGUCGAUAAUUUUAGCUAGCAGCACUUUUUUGACAUGUACCUACAUUUAAAAGUGUCGUUAUAGACCGUUUUUGUUGUAGUGCUCGCGCAAGCAAAUGCACACAUAAUCUUACAAU